GAUUAACGCUGGCGGCGUGCCUAACACAUGCAAGUCGAGCGGCAGCGAGUUUUACACUGACUUCUGGAAGCUUCUAGUUGCAAGAGAAGAUUUAUUCAAGAAUUUUGUGUAAAAUGUCGGCGAGCGGCGGACGGCUGAGUAACGCGUGGGAACGUACCCCCAAGUGAGGGAUAACGCAUCGAAAGGUGUGCUAAUACCGCAUAUGGUCUUCGGAUUAAAGCCUUCGGGCGCUUUGGGAACGGCCUGCGUAAGAUUAGAUAGUUGGUGGGGUAAUGGCCUACCAAGUCGACGAUCGUUAACUGGUUUGAGAGGAUGAGCAGUCAGACUGGAACUGAGACACGGUCCAGACUCCUACGGGAGGCAGCAGUGAGGAAUCUUCCACAAUGGGCGAAAGCCUGAUGGAGCAACGCCGCGUGCAGGAUGAAGGCCUUCGGGUUGUAAACUGCUUUUAUAAGUGAGGAUUAUGACAGUAACUUAUGAAUAAGGAUCGGCUAACUACGUG
RNAcentral lists this ribosomal RNA (502 nucleotides) under uncultured bacterium. RNAcentral describes it as "partial 16S ribosomal RNA". It matches the Rfam family "Bacterial small subunit ribosomal RNA", at positions 28 to 507 of the family's 1533-position model. The record is from RNAcentral.